Long non-coding RNA from Meriones unguiculatus (Mongolian gerbil), 1305 nucleotides. RefSeq lists it as uncharacterized. The record is from RefSeq and is a predicted model, not a curated record. The transcript has 3 exons. NCBI's taxonomy places the organism in Eukaryota, Metazoa, Chordata, Mammalia, Rodentia, Muridae.
CCGCCGCCGCGGCACUCGCACUUCGGCUCCCUCCGUCACCCGGCGCCGCCGCGCCCAUUGGCUACCUGCGCGGGGGCGGGGCCUAAGCAGCCCCGCCCCGUCCCCGCGGCGCGGCAUUCCCGGCGCGGACCCCCGCCCCCGACGUGCCGGGAGUCGGCCCCGCCCACACGCGAGCCCCCGGCCCGCUCUCGGCCCUGCCCACCCGAGGCUCCGCCGGUUCCCUCUCCCCGGGCUCCGCGCCGCUUGGCAGACCUCGCCCGGUCCUAGCAGCGCAUGGGAUCUGAACUCAGAUGUGCCCUCUCCCUCCCGGGGAGGCGCUGCCACCGUCCACAUCCCAUUCACGUGGGACGCCCUGGGCCUGAUCCCGACAGAGGCGUGAAAGGAGCCUGGGCGGUGUGUCCUCUGGCUCUCAGCUCGCUCCGCACUGGGCUGGUCCUCGCGCGAAAGCUCGGAGCCACACUGGGGUCUCCACGGGAGCCUCGUGUCCCCGAGCCGGCCAGCCCCGCAGCGCCCCCAGGGUGAUUUCCUAAUGCGCAUUUUUUCCCUCCCAGUCGGUGUUGUGCCCUAUCACUUGAGGGCGCUGGUUUCAGGCCAGGUCCCGCGUCCCUUCCGCAGCAGGCCGGAUUGUGGUCUGGUUUGAGCUUGAGGCCCUGGGAAGAAGGCAAAGCGCAGGCUUGGUGGAACCAGGAUUCCCUCUGGCAAGAUUUGACCUGCACCUAAGGAGCUCUUAGGGCCCAGUUAGGAAUUACACACCAGACCCUCUCUGCAUGGUGGUGCAAACAGCAUUUAGGAGGCUAAGGGCUCAGAGCAGAGGAGGAACAGGGAGGAAGACACCCUGAGAUCCACGGGUGUGGAGCUCUGCUGGAUGAGGGUGAAGUCUGACAUUUCUGGAUAGCCCUGUGCUCAGGCGAAGCUGAUGGACUCCCUUUUCUCAGUGGGGUCUUCCUCUCUCCACCUGAUCCGGGUACCCCAGAUCUUGUAAGGAGCGGUACAUAGCCCUCGGAGAAAGAUCACAGGCCGGAACUGGAGUUACAGACAGUUGUGAGCUGCCUUGAGGGUGCAUGGGAAUUGAACCCUGGACCUUUGGAAGAGCAGCCAUUGUGUUUAACCGCUGAGUCAUCUCUCCAGCCCCUGGCCCCUGCCUUUCCCCUCUUAUGAUAGGACUGCUUUGGCACAUGUAGAUUAAGUGUCCCUGGCAACCCUGACCCCGGUGAAUCAAAUACAUUCACUCUCAGAACGCUUCCCACCGCCCAAGAUUUACAUUGCUCUUGAUUUCACACUGAAUAAACAGCACUCUCUCACUUC